This is a non-coding RNA of Sus scrofa (pig), 545 nucleotides long. Lineage: Eukaryota; Metazoa; Chordata; Mammalia; Artiodactyla; Suidae. The record is from RefSeq and is a predicted model, not a curated record.
GCUCUUUCUCCCAGUCUCUUCCACAAGUAGUCUGACUCACACAAUCUAUUAAGCAAACCACAAUUCUUGUACGGGUCUCAAUAUCCCCUACGCCACUGAGUCCCCGAGAAGGAGUUAUUGCCCAAGGGCCUGGCCAGGAUGAAAUUGAUGUACUACACAGAAGCUGCUGCCCAUCUUCAUAGAGUGAAAUAUACACUGGCCCAGGAGCCAUAGAAGCAGAAGGAGAAUCCAGGGGAGAAUAUAUUAAUUGCAGACCCUCUGCUGCCCAGCUGGUCCAAGUUCAGUCAGCAGAAAGCAACAACAGUUUAAUCCUUUUAAAUGUUAGUUAAGACUUAUGUCUGUUGCAACCCAGGAAUGCCUUGCUCAAGGGCCUGGGAACCAACUCACUGAAAUGUCAUCCUUAAGGAAGAGCGUGCCCCUUUUACCUAGUGCCUAUGGGAGGAUGGAAGCCAAAGUUGAGCAGGCCGCUUGGCUCCAAAACUACCUCCUGUCAUAAAGAUGUAAGAAGUUUAUUUUUUCAAUGGAUAAAGCCAGUUAGCAUUCCA